RNAcentral lists this long non-coding RNA (154 nucleotides) under Polistes fuscatus (common paper wasp). Its description in RNAcentral is "uncharacterized LOC122524789". The record is from RNAcentral. Lineage: Eukaryota; Metazoa; Arthropoda; Insecta; Hymenoptera; Vespidae.
CGAGCGUUUAACAUCGUCGAGAUAUUCGUCGACAUAUUUUCAUAUAUUUUUAAAAAGCUGUUAUAAAUAAAAUUACAUUCAGUAAACUUGGACUUACCUUGGCCAACUGCUAUAACUUCAAUGAAGAUCAAAAAACCAGAGAGCAACGGAACGG